UCAAUCUAUUAUAAAUCUACAUGAAACCUGAAUACUUACAAUAAAAAUUGAAUUGAUACAAAAUAAAUGUGUAAAAAUGAAAUGCUUGUGGUUGCCAAGCUGGCCCAACAGGGACAAAGAUCCCAAUCUUAAAACCUGAAAGCACGGUGAGAUAAAGUUAGAAAAAUAUAUGCCAAGUUACUUCAACCGUUCUUUCAGUCAUACACGGUUAAAUCGGCCUAACUAAAUCAUGCAUGCAGUGCUGACUAAAUCAUGCAUGCAGUAAAGCUAUCUCGUUAUAUAUAGUCCUAGUUGCAGGUUCCAGUUCCACGCCCAUCCCAAAAAUUUCUGCUCAUACACAAGCACAAUCCUACUCAAAUCUGGUACAAGUUUUUGUUCAUACACAUCACAUCUUUCAAUGGAUAUCGGCCAUGCCAACAUCGGAGACAUACACUUACAAUGGACCGAAGAGGAUAAUCUAUGCCUGGUAAAUGCUUGGUUAAAUGUUCCCACUGAUUUUGUUAUUGGCAAUGAAAACACUGCACGGGAUUUUUGGAAUCAAGUCGCUGAAGAAUAUAACGCAAAUACCGCCGAUAAUCGAAGAAGACAACCUAUCCAAAUCAAACGCCGUUGGAGUAAGAUGAGCUCAGAAAUUCUGCUAUUCGAUGGCAUGUGGCGCAGGGUUGACGAUGCAUUCACAGCUACUGGACAAUAUAACCAGGACUUGGUUUCCAAAUCUCUAGAGAUGUAUAGGUUAGAACAAAAUCAAUCAUUCAAAUUUCUCAACAUGUGGAUGUUCAUACGGAACUAUCCCCAGUGGAAUGCAAUGUACUGUCGAGUCAAAAAGCCAUGAUUUAGAUAAUAAAUUGUUGUUCUCA
Triticum aestivum (bread wheat) is the source of this 857-nucleotide long non-coding RNA. RefSeq lists it as uncharacterized. NCBI's taxonomy places the organism in Eukaryota, Viridiplantae, Streptophyta, Magnoliopsida, Poales, Poaceae. The transcript is spliced from 2 exons. The record is from RefSeq and is a predicted model, not a curated record.